AAUUCUAUCGAAAUCCAUGGCCCAAUUCUAAGCAUUUAAACAUAGCAUCGGGCUAAUAUUUGUCCUUUUUUCCCCUGCACUUGGGAAAGUCAUCUUGCGAAAGGCCAGCAGGAGAAAGAGGAAGGAGCCAGGAUCCAAAGGAUUCCUAUGAGGGGACACCUCCAAUGAUCAAAGAACCUUUCAUGAGAUCACACUAGUCAAAGAUUCUUCCCUGCCUGGUAGCAUCAACCUUGGCCAUGGCCCUUCAGGGGAAAUUCAAUAUCCGAACAACAGCAGGAAGUAUGACUUGCCCAGCAUCCUUCAAGUGGUCCAAGCCACUUUGUGACUGCAAGAGAAGCUGAGGAUUGGAGCCUCUCUGUGUUGUAAGACAGAGGAAGAAAAAUCGUGGAGAACAGCCAGCCAGUGGCAACACUAGAGACUCAACGGGAUACUGUAAGAAUGCACCAUUUUGAAGGCGCCAUCUUGAAGGAGCCACCUUGAAGGAGCCAUCUUGAAGGCACCAUCUUGAAGGAGCCAUUUUGAAGGCACCAUCUUGAAAAUGCCAUCUUGAAGGUGCCAUCUUGAAGGUGCCAUCUGGGAAGUGGAAAGCAGCCCUCACCAUACAUCAGUCCUACUGCAGCUGUGAUCUUGGACUUCUCAUACUCAGGAAAGAUGGGAAAUA
Long non-coding RNA from Chinchilla lanigera (long-tailed chinchilla), 661 nucleotides. RefSeq lists it as uncharacterized. Lineage: Eukaryota; Metazoa; Chordata; Mammalia; Rodentia; Chinchillidae. The transcript is spliced from 4 exons. The record is from RefSeq and is a predicted model, not a curated record.